AACGAACGCUGGCGGCAGGCCUAACACAUGCAAGUCGAGCGGUCCCUUCGGGGUGCUCGCUGGUUGGCUGAGUAACGCCUGGCAAUAUGCCCUUCUCUACGGAACAGUCCUGUGAAACUGGGGGUCAUCUCGUAACCGUCCUUAGUAGCAAAGAUCUUCCGAGGAAGGAGUAGCCCGCGUUGGAUUAGUUAGUUGGUGGGGUAAUGGCGUACCAAGGCGACAAUACAUAGCUGGUUAGAGAGGAUGAUCAGACACACUGAGACUGGGACGCGGUCCAGACUCCUACGGGAGGCAGCAGUGGGGAAUCUUGGACAAUGGGGGCAAUGAUGAUCGAGCCAUGCCGGGUAAGUGAUGAAGGCGUUAGGGUAGGAAAGCUCUUUCAGCUGGGAAGAUAAUGACGGUACCAGCAGAAGAAGCCCCGGCUAACUCCGUG
This 433-nucleotide ribosomal RNA is filed under the name uncultured bacterium. Its description in RNAcentral is "partial 16S ribosomal RNA". It matches the Rfam family "Bacterial small subunit ribosomal RNA", at positions 29 to 507 of the family's 1533-position model. The record is from RNAcentral.